This 492-nucleotide ribosomal RNA is filed under the name uncultured bacterium. Its description in RNAcentral is "partial 16S ribosomal RNA". It matches the Rfam family "Bacterial small subunit ribosomal RNA", at positions 29 to 507 of the family's 1533-position model. The record is from RNAcentral.
AGUGAGCGCUGGCGGUAGGCCUAACACAUGCAAGUCGAACGGCAGCACAGUAAGAGCUUGCUCUUACGGGUGGCGAGUGGCGGACGGGUGAGGAAUACAUCGGAAUCUACUUUUUCGUGGGGGAUAACGUAGGGAAACUUACGCUAAUACCGCAUACGACCUACGGGUGAAAGCAGGGGAUCUUCGGACCCUGCGCGAUUGAAUGAGCCGAUGUCGGAUUAGCUAGUUGGCGGGGUAAAGGCCCACCAAGGCGACGAUCCGUAGCUGGUCUGAGAGGAUGAUCAGCCACACUGGAACUGAGGCACGGUCCAGACUCCUACGGGAGGCAGCAGUGGGGAAUAUUGGACAAUGGGCGCAAGCCUGAUCCAGCCAUACCGCGUGGGUGAAGAAGGCCUUCGGGUUGUAAAGCCCUUUUGUUGGGAAAGAAAAGCAGCAGGUUAAUACCCCGCUGUUCUGACGGUACCCAAAGAAUAAGCACCGGCUAACUUCGUG